This 1137-nucleotide ribosomal RNA is filed under the name Triticum aestivum (bread wheat). RNAcentral describes it as "partial small subunit ribosomal RNA". The record is from RNAcentral. Lineage: Eukaryota; Viridiplantae; Streptophyta; Magnoliopsida; Poales; Poaceae.
AUGAGCAAGAGGCGGAAGAGGAGCAACCUCGCCGGCCGGCGUCCCCUGCCCCAACGCCGCCGUGAAAACGAAUGCGCCCGCGUCGACCUACCGGAGCUCUCCCGACACCACCUCGAGACCACCACCGAGGGCCUCUUGCUCCUGCGUGACAAGGCGAACCACGCCGUGCGGCUCCUCAACCCGCUCACCAAGGCCCUCACCGACCUCCCGCCCGUCACCGAGGACCUUGGCGGCGCGUACGCGGUCUGGUCGGGGCCGUUCCAGUCCGCGGCGCGCAUCAUCUACGCCGGCGUCUCUGACGAGACCUCCCCAUCGUCAGUGGUGCUCCUGAUGGCUGACCGUCACCUUGGGCGUGCCAUAGCCUACGCCAAUCCUGUUGACCAGCGUUGGGCGGUGGUGGAUGACGAGAUGUGGAGGCCCGGCAUCCCCAUGUCAUGUCGAUUCUCGUCGGCCUCAACCAUGCAGGGGCGCGUCUACUUUGUGACUGUCGAGGGGUACAUAAUACAGGUGAGGCUCUGCCCAGAGCCUCGUGUGGUGCCCGUGGUUGUGGACCAGCCCAACACCAAAUACAACAUGUUCUGCUACCUCGUCCCUCCCGAUGACGACCACCGCCGCGGUGGUGGCAUGCUCAUGGUGCGCUACUACCUCAACCUCUAUCACCUCAGCGAUGAAGAGCGGAGAAUCAUGACGCGCAGGAGGAAGGCCAGGGACGUCAUCAGGGUGGAGCACCUUGUGAAGGAGCACCGGUGGAACCUAAUUCAGGUGUUUGAGGUGGAUGUGGCCGGAAAGAGGCUUGUUCCGGUGGAGGACAUUGGCCGGCACCGCGCCGUGUUUGUCGGGGACGUGGCCUGCUUCUCCCUCUCUGCCAAGAGGUUUCCAUGCGUGGCAGGGAACGCGAUACACAUGGGGGCGCUUGGGGCUCGUUGCCCUCCCGUCGGCGUGCGGUAUCUGGCGGACAAGACUGCCGAUCCAUCGUUUGUGUUCGCCACCGACGUGCCAGGGCUUCUAGAUGAUAUAUCAAUGAAACGGUACCGCCAGAGGAUACCGGAGCUGAAUCUACUGCCUCUUGCUCGCCCUUGUACACUCCAAGAGUACCUUGUCUGUUGCGCUGGCGUCCUUGGCGGCCUCAAAGACUAA